Molecule: long non-coding RNA, 3280 nt
Filed under: Sus scrofa (pig)
Lineage: Eukaryota; Metazoa; Chordata; Mammalia; Artiodactyla; Suidae
Description: lncRNA (ENSSSCG00000063500.1, ENSSSCG00130020699.1, ENSSSCG00175002239.1)
Source: RNAcentral
UUCACAAAUUAGUAGUUUUCUGUUAUAUGCAGCCUCUGAGGAAUGCUUUUCUCUUUUAAGCACAUUUUGCAAGGGAAUGGACAUAAUGCUUUUUCUCUGUCCUUCUAUCCUUAUUUUUGUCACCUGACCAGCUUCAUGUCAGUGUUAAUGUCUAUUUUCAAAGAAAAAUAAAGCCUCCCUAAUACUGUAAGUUGAAUCUACUGUCCCCAAACACCUUUACCAGAUGCUCCACAUAAAGUUUUGAAUAUAUGUAUAUAUGCACACACAGGUGUAUAUUUACAUAUAAUAUAUAGUUUUAAAAUGGUUUUCUAAGGCAUUGUACAUUGUUUUCUUUGAACCCUGAGACAUACUGUUAACCAACAAUACCCAUCUACAUGAUUGACUGAAGAUUUGGGAGCCACCUACCUAGAAUGGGUGAGCCAAUGGGCAUGGACACAGGCAAGAUCUGGCCCAAGUUUCAUUGAGAGGCCCUUCAGUGGGAGUUGGUGGUCCCUUUGGAAAAAAAUAUCAAAGUAUCAAGGCUAGAGAUUGUUGGCCCCUUGUGAUCUGUGAUAGUAAGAUGAUGAUAAGUCACCAUGGCAAUCCUCAAAGACCAAAAUCUGUUCUGUGUUGUGACUAAAUUCUAGGAAAGUCCUCUAAUCUGACCUGCAUCCAGGCAGUGAAGUACCUCAACCCUGAUGACAGAUCUAGACUCUGAGUGUAGCACAGCCCAAAGAUUUUGGUACAUGGAGUCAAAUGUCGAUUCUAGAUUCUACUUUUUUUCCUCACUACUUAAAAAAUGAUUUUUUUCCAGCUUUACUGAGGUAUAAUUGACAAGCAGAACUGUAAGAUAUUUAAAGGAUACAUCAUGGUGAUUUGAUAUAUGCCUACAUCAGGCUCCACCUUUUAAUAACAGGUUUUGCCUUUGAAAAUGCAAACUCUGUGAGUUCUAGUAUUUUUUAUUUUUUAUUUUAUUUUUAUUUCUAGUAUUUUUUAUCAUUUAUAAAAAUGAUAACCAUGUCAUGCAGUUGCUGUGAAGACUUAGGUAAGACCAUGUACAGAAAGUGGCUGACCCAUCUCAGCAGCUCAUACAUAGACAGACCCUCUCCUCUCCUCUCCAAACAUCUUAAAGAAUUUCCCUAGAGAGGUUUAAAAGAAAUUAGAGGACCAAUGAUCCAUUUCAAAAGAUUACAGAAGGCACUUAUUAAAAAAAAAUGCAUUCCCUGUUACUUAAACAUAAUUUGAAAAGAAAACAUAUUAAUAAGGUAGGGAUGUGCACACCAAAGCUGAUGUGGAGUCAUGAAGGAGGGACACAUAACUACUAGAGUUGUGACUAGAAUACCUGGUAUGAGGCGUGGAGCACUUGGAGAUAAGCCUGGAGAGGGUGAUCCUCUACCUGAGUGAAUCAGUUAGAUUCAAAUUUCAGAUAGGUUAAUUCUGGUAGCAGAACGGAACAUAGAUUGGGGAAUAGAAUGCAAAAGGAAAAGUUUAAUAAUAGUUCACCAGAGGAAUGACCAAGGGCUUGCACGAGAACGGUGACAAAGGGACAGACAGACAGACUGUAAACAUCAGGACUUGGUGUUGCUUGUCCUACGGGGGUCCUAGAAAAAGGCGUUUGGAAAGAAGGUGAGAUCUUUUCAGGGAGAAAAUGGGAGCGAAGUUAUCACUCAGUGCUGAAAGGAAGCAAAUGUUUUUCAUCCCCUUCACUCUGUUGAGGUGAAUUUAGAUUUUCAACAUUCCUUGUUUAAACCAGGAAAUGUUAGCCCAGGGUCUUGGAGAUUAUAUCAGUUAAUAGUUUAAGAGGUACAAUAUGUGCCAUUAAUGAAUGAAAACACAAUAUUAAAAUAUUAUGAUAUUAGGCCAUUGAUAAAAUAUAUAUGUAUUUCAGAUCUAAAGAUAGGACAUGUCUGAUAAUAGACUUUUUUUUGUUUGUUUCUCAUUGAAACUGAAUUACACAAGCUGAAUUAUACAAAAAUAAUUCAAAGAGUAAAUUACAUUUAAUUAUAUCUUUAGAAAGUAGCUUUCAUUUGAAAAAGAACAUAUUUAUGAAAUCUGGACUGAUCUGGAAAAUCCAGAAUAUAUAGUCACUAACCAUAGAAGAAUUGACCACUUAAAAAGCAUGUAGAAACAUCACUUUAGUUAUUAAACUUCAAGCAUUUUAUGAAAAAUACACAUAUUUUGCUGGGACUGAGGUAAACUUGGUUAUCGCAUUAUCCCUUUGAACUUUAUGCUCAGGAAAUAACAUUGUGACUCAACAUGCUAAUGUAUGUUAUCUCUUAAAACCAGUUCAGAUGCUAAUGUCACUAGUUAGUGAAUUUGUUUCUCUCCCUACCUGGUCUGUGCAUUUAUAAGGAUCAAGGUGUUGUUUGUACUACUCGAUACCACUUGAUCCAAAGCAACUUUGGGUGAGUAAUACAAAACUUUUAUUUUGAUUCUUUUUUUUCUUCUUUUGCUUUUCUUCCUUUCUUUUUUCCUUAGACACACAUGGGAAUCCAUACGGAUCUAUCUUAAAAACUGUAAUGUAAUUGCAGAUGGCUUGUCCUGCUAGUCUGUAUGCCUUCAUAUUUUUAAAAUUUUAUCCCCAUCUAUUGCCAGGAGUAAAUCUCAUUCAAUUUUUUAAAGAAUUGUACUGUGAUAUACCACAAUAUUUUCCACAUUCUGAUUUGGGUUCUGUUAUACUAGUCAGACAGAAAUACCCACACUUGUGUCUCUCAGCUUUUACUUUUGAUAGUUACAUAGGAAAACUUACAUAUGUGCUUAACUUGUAUGGUUGAACAUUGACCACAUCAUUUAAGUUGAUCAUAAUUACAUCAAUGUGGAUUCCUGGAUAUUCUUAGAAAUGUUUAAAGAAUAUUUAAGAAAUGGGAGUUUCCACUGUGGCUCAGUGGGUUAAGAACCUGACUACUGUCCGUGAGUAUUCAGGUUUGAUCCCUGGCCUCACUCAGUGGGUUAAGGAUCCCGCAUUGCCAAAAGCUGUGGCAUAGGUUGCAGAUGUGGCUAGGAUCCAGCGUUGGUGUUGCUGUGGCAUAGGCUGGCAACUGCAACUCCCAUUCAGUCUCUAGCCUGGGAACUUCUAUAUGCUCACAGAUGGGGCCCUAAAAAGAGAAAGAAAAAAAAAGAGAGAGAGAGAGAAUAUAUGAGAAAUGAUAAAAUCAUCUGGAAAAAAAAUCUUCAAGUAAGAAAAGCUUCCUGGAUUUCCCUGGUGGCACAGUGGGUUAAGGAUCCAGUGUUAUCACUGCUGUGGCCCAGGUUGGUGCUGUGGUGCAGGUUCAUUCCCUGGCCCAGGAACUUCCACAUGCCA